This 75-nucleotide transfer RNA is filed under the name Leptolyngbya sp. FACHB-16. RNAcentral's name for it is "tRNA-Thr". It matches the Rfam family "tRNA". From Rfam's summary of the family: Transfer RNA (tRNA) molecules are approximately 80 nucleotides in length. The record is from RNAcentral. RNAcentral also lists the same sequence under 2 other names. Lineage: Bacteria; Bacillati; Cyanobacteriota; Cyanophyceae; Leptolyngbyales; Leptolyngbyaceae.
GCUGGUGUGGCUCAACGGUAGAGCAAUCGCCUUGUAAGCGAAAGGUUGCAGGUUCAAAUCCUGUCACCAGCCCCA